Molecule: transfer RNA, 67 nt
Filed under: Arion flagellus
Lineage: Eukaryota; Metazoa; Mollusca; Gastropoda; Stylommatophora; Arionidae
Description: tRNA-Leu
Source: RNAcentral
AUAGAUAUGGCAGAUACAUAAUGCUUAAACUUUAAGCGUUUACCAUAGAUUAAAAUUCUUAUCUAAU